UCCUACGGGAGGCUGCAGUGGGGAAUCUUGCGCAAUGGACGAAAGUCUGACGCAGCGACGCCACGUGGGUGACGAAGGCCUUCGGGUUGUAAAGCCCUGUGGGGCGAGACGAACAGCUUCUGGUCGAACAGGCCAGGAGUUUGACGGUAUCGCCUUAGCAAGCACCGGCUAACUCUGUGCCAGCAGCCGCGGUAAUACAGAGGGUGCAAACGUUGCUCGGAAUUACUGGGCGUAAAGCGCGUGUAGGCGGUUUUAUGAGUCCGACGUGAAAGCCCGGGGCUCAACCCCGGAAGUGCGCUGGAUACUGUGAAGCUGGAGUCCUGAAGAGGAGAGCGGAAUUCCCGGUGUAGAGGUGAAAUUCGUAGAUAUCGGGAGGAACACCUGUGGCGAAGGCGGCUCUCUGGGCAGGUACUGACGCUGAGACGCGAAAGCGUGGGGAGCAAACAGGAUUAGAUACCCCGGUAGUCG
RNAcentral lists this ribosomal RNA (468 nucleotides) under uncultured Myxococcales bacterium. Its description in RNAcentral is "bacterial SSU rRNA". It matches the Rfam family "Bacterial small subunit ribosomal RNA", at positions 337 to 796 of the family's 1533-position model. Lineage: Bacteria; Pseudomonadati; Myxococcota; Myxococcia; Myxococcales. The record is from RNAcentral.